UACGGGGGGGGCGAGCGUUAUUCGGAAUUAUUGGGCGUAAAGGGCGCGUAGGCGGCCUGGUGUGUCCAAGGUGAAAUCCCUCGGCUCAACUGAGGAAUUGCCUUUGAAACUACCAGGCUUGAGGCCGGGAGGGGGUAGCGGAAUCCCCAGUGUAGCGGUGAAAUGCGUAGAUAUUGGGAGGAACACCAGUGGCGAAGGCGGCUACCUGGACCGGUUCUGACGCUGAGGUGCGAAAGCGUGGGGAGCAAACAGG
Molecule: ribosomal RNA, 253 nt
Filed under: uncultured bacterium
Lineage: Bacteria
Description: partial 16S ribosomal RNA
Rfam family: Bacterial small subunit ribosomal RNA
Source: RNAcentral